CAUGCAAGUUGAACGAAGCGCUUAAAUGGAUUUCUUCGGAUUGAAGUUUUUGUGACUGAGUGGCGGACGGGUGAGUAACGCGUGGGUAACCUGCCUCAUACAGGGGGAUAACAGUUAGAAAUGACUGCUAAUACCGCAUAAGCGCACAGUGCUGCAUGGCACAGUGUGAAAAACUCCGGUGGUAUGAGAUGGACCCGCGUCUGAUUAGCUAGUUGGUGGGGUAACGGCCUACCAAGGCGACGAUCAGUAGCCGGCCUGAGAGGGUGAACGGCCACAUUGGGACUGAGACACGGCCCAAACUCCUACGGGAGGCAGCAGUGGGGAAUAUUGCACAAUGGGGGAAACCCUGAUGCAGCGACGCCGCGUGAGCGAAGAAGUAUUUCGGUAUGUAAAGCUCUAUCAGCAGGGAAGAAAAUGACGGUACCUGACUAAGAAGCACCGGCUAAAUACGUGCCAGCAGCCGCGGUAAUACGUAUGGUGCAAGCGUUAUCCGGAUUUACUGGGUGUAAAGGGAGCGUAGACGGUUGUGUAAGUCUGAUGUGAAAGCCCGGGGCUCAGCCCCGGGACUGCAUUGGAAACUAUGUAACUAGAGUGUCGGAGAGGUAAGCGGAAUUCCUAGUGUAGCGGUGAAAUGCGUAGAUAUUAGGAGGAACACCAGUGGCGAAGGCGGCUUACUGGACGAUCACUGACGUUGAGGCUCGAAAGCGUGGGGAGCAAACAGGAUUAGAUGCCCUGGUAGUCCACGCCGUAAACGAUGACUACUAGGUGUCGGGGAGCAAAGCUCUUCGGUGCCGCAGCAAACGCAAUAAGUAGUCCACCUGGGGAGUACGUUCGCAAGAAUGAAACUCAAAGG
This 853-nucleotide ribosomal RNA is filed under the name uncultured bacterium. Its description in RNAcentral is "bacterial SSU rRNA". It matches the Rfam family "Bacterial small subunit ribosomal RNA", at positions 54 to 907 of the family's 1533-position model. The record is from RNAcentral.